RNAcentral lists this long non-coding RNA (250 nucleotides) under Gossypium barbadense (sea-island cotton). RNAcentral's name for it is "long non-coding RNA (GBAR_LNC001668)". Lineage: Eukaryota; Viridiplantae; Streptophyta; Magnoliopsida; Malvales; Malvaceae. The record is from RNAcentral.
GACCGUGUGGUCACACACGCCCGUGUGGCUUGGGACACGCCAGUGUCCUCAGCCCGUGUAACUCUCUAUUUAUGACAUCAGUAAAAUAAUUUAUACCACACGUCUAGGCCACACGCUCGUGUACUAGGCCGUGUCCUACACACGGUUGAGACACAUGGCCAUGUCUCUGCCCGUGUAGCUAACACGUAGGCUAUUUUCCAAGCCUUAUGUUGACCUUACUUUUUUCCCCAUACUUUUACACAUCAUAGGC